UCUCUCUCUCUCUAUUAUUGUGACCUUCAUCAAACACUGUGGUUGGGGCUCAUUGUUGGGUGCGGUGCCAUAGUUGGGCGUUGAGUAGCUUAAUCGGGCUUAAUCUCGAACCAUCAUCUUCGUCGCUGGAACCGUAGGAGUCCCUGCCUUCAAUCGUGGUGUUUCAGUCGUGGUGCCGUUGUGGGGUAAUCGUGUUCUCCGUCAACGCCGCCGUGAUGUUCCAGUUGCAGAGGAACCCUAGGACUGUUGUUCUCGCACUCUGAUUUUGGGUCGCCGUCAUUCAGUCUCGGGGAGAA
Molecule: small RNA, 296 nt
Filed under: Vigna angularis var. angularis
Lineage: Eukaryota; Viridiplantae; Streptophyta; Magnoliopsida; Fabales; Fabaceae
Description: Non-protein coding transcript
Source: RNAcentral